This 716-nucleotide ribosomal RNA is filed under the name uncultured Vagococcus sp. RNAcentral describes it as "partial 16S ribosomal RNA". It matches the Rfam family "Bacterial small subunit ribosomal RNA", at positions 25 to 714 of the family's 1533-position model. Lineage: Bacteria; Bacillati; Bacillota; Bacilli; Lactobacillales; Enterococcaceae. The record is from RNAcentral.
CAGCGACGCUGGCGGCGNUGCCUAAUACAUGCAAGUCGAACGCUUCUUUUUCACCGGGUGCUUGCACCCACCGAGAAAGAGGAGUGGCGGACGGGUGAGUAACACGUGGGCAACCUGCCCAUCAGAGGGGGAUAACACUUGGAAACAGGUGCUAAUACCGCAUAAUUCUUUUUGUCGCCUGACAGAAAGAUAAAAGACGCUUUCGGGUGUCACUGAUGGAUGGGCCCGCGCUGCAUUAGCUAGUUGGUGGGGUAACGGCUCACCAAGGCCAUGAUGCAUAGCCGACCUGAGAGGGUGAUCGGCCACACUGGGACUGAGACACGGCCCAGACUCCUACGGGAGGCAGCAGUAGGGAAUCUUCGGCAAUGGACGAAAGUCUGACCGAGCAACGCCGCGUGAGUGAAGAAGGUUUUCGGAUCGUAAAACUCUGUUGUUAGAGAAGAACAAGUGAGAGAGUAACUGUUCUCACCUUGACGGUAUCUAACCAGAAAGCCACGGCUAACUACGUGCCAGCAGCCGCGGUUAAUACNUANGUGGCCANCGUUGUCCGGAUUUAUUGNGGCGUAAAGCGAGCGCANNNGNUUCCUUAAGUCUGAUGUGAAANCCCCCGGCUCACCGGGGAANGUCNUUGNAAANUGNGUACUUGANUNCNNAANAANGAAAGUGUAUUUCCNUGUNUAGCNGUGAAAUNNUAAAUUAUNNGAGGANCACCAGUG